GGGCUGUUGGUCUAGUGGUAUGAUUCUCGCUUAGGGUCCACCCUACAGCUUCUGCAUGCGAGAGGUCCCGGGUUCAAUCCCCGGAUAGCCCC
This 92-nucleotide transfer RNA is filed under the name Coniochaeta pulveracea. RNAcentral's name for it is "tRNA-Pro". It matches the Rfam family "tRNA". Rfam says of the family: Transfer RNA (tRNA) molecules are approximately 80 nucleotides in length. The record is from RNAcentral. Lineage: Eukaryota; Fungi; Ascomycota; Sordariomycetes; Coniochaetales; Coniochaetaceae.